RNAcentral lists this ribosomal RNA (465 nucleotides) under Vreelandella stevensii. RNAcentral's name for it is "partial 16S ribosomal RNA". It matches the Rfam family "Bacterial small subunit ribosomal RNA", at positions 338 to 795 of the family's 1533-position model. Lineage: Bacteria; Pseudomonadati; Pseudomonadota; Gammaproteobacteria; Oceanospirillales; Halomonadaceae. The record is from RNAcentral.
CCUACGGGUGGCUGCAGUGGGGAAUAUUGGACAAUGGGCGAAAGCCUGAUCCAGCCAUACCGCGUGUGUGAAGAAGGCCUUCGGGUUGUAAAGCACUUUCAGUGGGGAAGAAAGCCUUGGGGCUAAUACCCUCGAGGAAGGACAUCACCCACAGAAGAAGCACCGGCUAACUCCGUGCCAGCAGCCGCGGUAAUACGGAGGGUGCGAGCGUUAAUCGGAAUUACUGGGCGUAAAGCGCGCGUAGGCGGUCUGAUAAGCCGGUUGUGAAAGCCCCGGGCUCAACCUGGGAACGGCAUCCGGAACUGUCAGGCUAGAGUGCAGGAGAGGAAGGUAGAAUUCCCGGUGUAGCGGUGAAAUGCGUAGAGAUCGGGAGGAAUACCAGUGGCGAAGGCGGCCUUCUGGACUGACACUGACGCUGAGGUGCGAAAGCGUGGGUAGCAAACAGGAUUAGAUACCCGGGUAGUC